RNAcentral lists this ribosomal RNA (253 nucleotides) under uncultured bacterium. RNAcentral describes it as "partial 16S ribosomal RNA". It matches the Rfam family "Bacterial small subunit ribosomal RNA", at positions 524 to 776 of the family's 1533-position model. The record is from RNAcentral.
UACGAAGGGGGCAAGCGUUGCUCGGAUUUAUUGGGCGUAAAGGGUGUGUAGGUGGUUCAUUAAGUUAGAUGUGAAAGCCCGGGGCUCAACCCCGGAACUGCAUUUAAAACUGAUGAACUUGAAGAUCACAGAGGUAAGCAGAAUUUCCAGUGUAGAGGUGAAAUUCGUAGAUAUUGGAAAGAAUACCAACGGCGUAGGCAGCUUACUGGGUGACUCUUGACACUGAGGCACGAAAGCGUGGGGAGCAAACAGG